This 74-nucleotide transfer RNA is filed under the name Hemiselmis andersenii. RNAcentral describes it as "tRNA-Leu". It matches the Rfam family "tRNA". From Rfam's summary of the family: Transfer RNA (tRNA) molecules are approximately 80 nucleotides in length. Their secondary structure includes four short double-helical elements and three loops (D, anti-codon, and T loops). Further hydrogen bonds mediate the characteristic L-shaped molecular structure. tRNAs have two regions of fundamental functional importance: the anti-codon, which is responsible for specific mRNA codon recognition, and the 3' end, to which the tRNAs corresponding amino acid is attached (by aminoacyl-tRNA synthetases). tRNAs cope with the degeneracy of the genetic code in two manners: having more than one tRNA (with a specific anti-codon) for a particular amino acid; and 'wobble' base-pairing, i.e. permitting non-standard base-pairing at the 3rd anti-codon position. Lineage: Eukaryota; Cryptophyceae; Cryptomonadales; Hemiselmidaceae. The record is from RNAcentral.
UCCCGUGUGGUCUAGUGGUUAGGAUGUCUGGUUUAAAACCCAGAAGAUCACGAGUUCGAUCCUCGUCCCGGGAG